GACGAACGCUGGCGGCGUGCCUAAUACAUGCAAGUAGAACGCUGAAGGAGGAGCUUGCUUCUCUGGAUGAGUUGCGAACGGGUGAGUAACGCGUAGGUAACCUGCCUGGUAGCGGGGGAUAACUAUUGGAAACGAUAGCUAAUACCGCAUAAUAGCAGUUGUUGCAUGACAACUGUUUGAAAGGUGCAAUUGCACCACUACCAGAUGGACCUGCGUUGUCUUAGCUAGUUGGUGGGGUAACGGCUCACCAACGCGACGAUACAUAGCCGACCUGAGAGGGGGGUCGGCCACACUGGGAAUGAGACACGGCCCAGACUCCUACGGGAGGGAGCAGUAGGGAAUCUUCGGCAAUGGACGGAAGUCUGACCGAGCAACGCCGGGGGAGUGAAGAAGGUUUUCGGAUCGGAAAGCUCUGUUGUAAGAGGAGAACGAGUGUGAGAGUGGAAAGUUCACACUGUGACGGUAUCUUAACAGAAAGGGACGGCUAACUACGUG
Molecule: ribosomal RNA, 495 nt
Filed under: uncultured bacterium
Lineage: Bacteria
Description: partial 16S ribosomal RNA
Rfam family: Bacterial small subunit ribosomal RNA
Source: RNAcentral